RNAcentral lists this ribosomal RNA (530 nucleotides) under uncultured eukaryote. RNAcentral's name for it is "SSU rRNA". It matches the Rfam family "Eukaryotic small subunit ribosomal RNA", at positions 21 to 549 of the family's 1831-position model. The record is from RNAcentral.
UAGUCAUAUGCUUGUCUCAAAGAUUAAGCCAUGCAUGUCUAAGCACAAGCCGAUUAAUGGUGAAGCCGCGAAUGGCUCAUUACAACAGCCAUAGUUUCUUAGAUCUUACUUUUCUACUUGGAUAACUGUGGUAAUUCUAGAGCUAAUACACGCAAACAAGCUCAGACCUUACGGAAUGAGCGCAUUUAUUAGAACAAAAACCAAUCGGGCUUCGGUCCGUCAUUUGGUGAAUCUGAAUAACUUUGCUGAUCGCACGGUCUUCGUACCGGCGACAUAUCUUUCAAAUGUCUGCCUUAUCAACUUUCGAUGGUAGUUUAUGCGCCUACCAUGGUUGUAACGGGUAACGGAGAAUAAGGGUUCGACUCCGGAGAGGGAGCCUGAGAAACGGCUACCACAUCCAAGGAAGGCAGCAGGCACGCAAAUUACCCACUCCCGGCACGGGGAGGUAGUGACGAAAAAUAUCGAGACGGCUCGCUAUGCGGUCCGUCAUCGGAAUGGGUACAAUUUAAAUCCUUUAACGAGGAUCUAUU